RNAcentral lists this ribosomal RNA (450 nucleotides) under uncultured Glomeromycotina. Its description in RNAcentral is "SSU rRNA". It matches the Rfam family "Eukaryotic small subunit ribosomal RNA", at positions 569 to 1023 of the family's 1831-position model. The record is from RNAcentral. Lineage: Eukaryota; Fungi; Glomeromycota.
AGCAGCCGCGGUAAUUCCAGCUCCAAUAGCGUAUAUUAAAGUUGUUGCAGUUAAAAAGCUCGUAGUUGAAUUUCGGGGUUAGUAGAUUGGUCAUGCCUUUGGUAUGUACUGGUCUUACUGAUUCCUCCUUCCUGAUGAACCGUAAUGCCAUUAAUUUGGUGUUGCGGGGAGACUGGACUGUUACUUUGAAAAAAUUAGAGUGUUUAAAGCAGGCUAACGCUUGAAUACAUUAGCAUGGAAUAAUGAAAUAGGACGUUCGAUCCUAUUUUGUUGGUUUCUAGGAUUGACGUAAUGAUUAAUAGGGAUAGUUGGGGGCAUUAGUAUUCAAUUGUCAGAGGUGAAAUUCUUGGAUUUAUUGAAGACUAACUACUGCGAAAGCAUUUGCCAAGGAUGUUUUCAUUAAUCAAGAACGAAAGUUAGGGGAUCGAAGACGAUCAGAUACCGUCGUAG